This 292-nucleotide ribosomal RNA is filed under the name uncultured bacterium. RNAcentral describes it as "partial 16S ribosomal RNA". It matches the Rfam family "Bacterial small subunit ribosomal RNA", at positions 505 to 796 of the family's 1533-position model. The record is from RNAcentral.
GUGCCAGCAGCCGCGGUAAUACGUAGGUGGCAAGCGUUGUCCGGAAUUAUUGGGCGUAAAGGGCGUGUAGGUGGAUUCUUAAGUCGUGUGUCUAAGUGCGGAGCUCAACUCCGUAUAGGCGCAGGAAACUGGGAAUCUUGAGUGCAGGAGAGGAAAGUGGAAUUCCCAGUGUAGCGGUGAAAUGCGUAGAUAUUGGGAGGAACACCAGUGGCGAAGGCGACUUUCUGGACUGUGUCUGACACUGAGGCGCGAAAGCUAGGGGGGCGAACGGGAUUAGAAACCCCUGUAGUCC